This is a small nuclear RNA of Ailuropoda melanoleuca (giant panda), 107 nucleotides long. The record is from Ensembl. Lineage: Eukaryota; Metazoa; Chordata; Mammalia; Carnivora; Ursidae.
GUGCUUGCUUUAGGAGCACAUAUACUAAAAUGGGAAUGAUACAGAGAAGAUUAGUAUGGCCCCUGCACAAGGAUGACAUGCAAACUUGUGAAGCAGCCCAUAUUUUU